This is a non-coding RNA of Danio rerio (zebrafish), 1218 nucleotides long. The record is from RefSeq and is a predicted model, not a curated record. Lineage: Eukaryota; Metazoa; Chordata; Actinopteri; Cypriniformes; Danionidae.
CUUGGAUGUUAAAACGGCCCUCCUUUGAAUUGUCAGUCACUGAAAUGUCCAAUCUGAGUUUUAGACCCCUGGAAUACAAGGACAAACAAAGGGAUUUUUUUUUCUUAAUGACAUACACAGGUGAAUUGUUCACCACAAAACUAGCAAUGUGAGCUAACAAAAUCAGUAUAGUUAGUUUUAGUUUCAUGUGCACUUUAAAUCUGAAUCGCUGGAAGGAUGGGAUUUGUUUAAUCUGUGUGGACUGCAAGCGGAGAUGAAGAGCAGCAGCGCCUCUUAAAAGCAAACCUUCAUUAGGCGGAAGUUAGGUCGCGGAGGUUAAUGCCAGUGCGAGUGUCCUGACAGCACGUCUCCUGCUAUGGGACGGGGUCAUGCGUUUGCUUUCACUGCACCUAAUGAGCUCCAACAGAUUGUGACUUUCUCCUGCUCUCUCUGCCAAUCACAGGUCGGGAGAUGACAUUCCCGCUUGUUUUUGGGGCUUGGAGGCCUGGUGUAGCACAGUGGGUGGGUUCAGCUCUCCGGCUCUGAAGUCAUGCGAGGAAGAGGUGGAGGAGACGGGUGGAGAUGCCACGCUUUUAUGACGCCUUGCAUCAUGGUAUACAGCUGGAGUGGAAAGCUGCCAUGACAUCAGCCAGAGGACAGCAGGAUUCUGGGCCUGGGACAGGAAGUGACUCACAGGAAGUGAGCUGAGCAACAUGUGGAUGCGUGGCUGUUUGAUGUGUUUUGAGCUGCUCCACAGACGCUCCGUUUCCAAGUGUGCUGGACGUCAUCGAACGGACGCUUCACAGAAAGGCGUAGUGAGCCUCCUCUCAAAUUAGCGGGCCGCUGUGGGAUAACAAAGGCCUCGGGAUCCGCCGCAGACCCUGUCCGAACUUCAGCGUCCCUCUGGCACGAGUCCAGCAGUCGUAUCCCAGCUGCCCUCAUCAAAGGUACGCGCUGCAUAGUUUCCAAACGCCGACCGCCAGAAAUCUGGAAAUCGGAUUCUGAUGCUGCAUGAAUCUGGUCGGAGGAACUGCAGAUACUUUCGGUGUGGUUUGCACUCAGUGAGACGAAUCAAAUAACUGUUCCCUGCCAGACUGAAUCCCUCCCAGCCGAUGCCUAGACUGGUGCUAGUAAAGCCAUAUGCUUGAAUUUUCCCAAGUUUGAUACAGUAAAACAAACUGUUUUACUUGCCAAGGUGCAUCUUCAGUCAGGUAUUUUAAAGUAUAGCUGAAAACAAAA